This 374-nucleotide long non-coding RNA is filed under the name Nicotiana benthamiana. RNAcentral describes it as "long non-coding RNA (NBEN_LNC020589)". The record is from RNAcentral. Lineage: Eukaryota; Viridiplantae; Streptophyta; Magnoliopsida; Solanales; Solanaceae.
CUGCUGAAGCUUCCUGGAUACCUGGAGUGUCAGUUGUCGAAGCUGUGGACGAGGAAGACUCAUCACCAACUACUUCAGUCCACGACUCUGAAAAUCCAUUGGAAGUUGAGGUCGUAGACCCGUGCAGAGUAGAUGAAAACAUGAAUUCAGAUGACAAAAUUAAUCAUCCAAAAUCUGCAUCUGUCAAUAGUAUUGACUGUUUGGUUGAUGGCGAAGCCACUUCUGGCGAGCUGCUGACCAUGCAGAGUAGAUCAAAACACGAAUUCAGAUAAAAUUAAUCAUCCAAAAUCUGCAUCUGUCAAUAAUAUUGACUGUUUGGUUGAUGGCGAAGCCGCUUCUGGUGAGCUUCUGGACAUCACUUUGGCACAAUGCUC